This 1154-nucleotide long non-coding RNA is filed under the name Anas zonorhyncha (Eastern spot-billed duck). RNAcentral describes it as "lncRNA (ENSAZOG00000007213.1)". Lineage: Eukaryota; Metazoa; Chordata; Aves; Anseriformes; Anatidae. The record is from RNAcentral.
GGGGCUGGCAGGGCUCGGGGAGGCGCAGCCAGGAGCAAACGGGGCAGAGCCCACGGCUGGACCUGCCUGGGGCGGGGUUGGGCUGAGCCCCCCGAGCUCCGCCUGACAGAAAUGUGCCCCCGGGGUCUGUGUGCGCAGGGGGCUGCCCGAGUGCUGUGUUGCAGGGGGAAGCCAGAGGCCGUGUGGUGCCUCCGAGGGCAGAGCCUCCCCUUGGGGUCCAGCUAGAGGCUACCACGACCCUCUGCUGUCACAGGGGCAGAAGUCCCCAGUCCUUGAAUCUUAUCCAGGCAGAGAACCGCUUUCCUGCAGCCUCCAGCCCGUCUUGCUCCGCUGAGAAGCUUGGCUCUUCAGGAGCAGUCCCAGCAGAAACAGAUGCACGCACAGCAGAUUAUUUGUAGCAAGGCUCUACAUGCAGAACAGAUUUAGAAUCACAGAAGUUGCCUUGGCAGGAUGAGAACUCUCCCCAGGAGUGUGGGUUUGUUCUCCCUUCUGCUCCCCAUGGCAGCGCUGCAGUUCCCGGGCUGGACCAAGAGGAAAGGCGCCCACCUGCCCUGGUGAUUCCAGAGCUAAGGGCAGCAAGGUUGCUGCCUCCUUUCAGCUGCUGUUCACACCUCCACGCUCGCCUUCCCGAGGUUUGGCUGUGUGCUGCUCCCAGAUCAUUGUUUCCUCUCUGCUCCUGUUGACGCCUUUACAUCCAAUUUACCAUUCUGGAUCCCCGAUCCCGUUCUGGCAGCACUCUGAGCAGGGGGCUGCGGCACCGCGGGCGCUGCGCUGGGAGGGCUCGGGGAGUUCGCUCUGAGGUGCUCCAGGAGUGCUGUUUUCAUGAGAGGCAGCCAGCACCGUCAUCGUUAACAGCCCUCCUCCCCGGCUGAAAGCAUCGGGGCAUCCUUUUUGUCUCCGAGUUUUCCAGAGGAAUGAAAAUUGAAUAAAAGAUCAAAGUUCAGUGAACAAGAGAGCAGAGUAUUUCUGGAACGCCCGCGAGCAGUGAUUGCUUCCAGCCCAGCGCGCUGGGCGGCGCGGGCAGCGGGAGGGGAGCUGCCAGCCUGCGGCAAGCGGGGCCCCAACCCGACCCGCACGACGCUCACCGGGGAAGGUCUGCGCCGUGUAACGGAGGAAUCAUCGCUGCCCCCGGGUGAUCUGUCAGAAACCAAGAU